AGAGUUUGAUCCUGGCUCAGGAUGAACGCUGGCGGCGUGCUUAACACAUGCAAGUCGAACGGAGUUAUGAAGAGUUUACUUUUCAUAACUUAGUGGCGGACGGGUGAGUAACGCGUGAGUAACCUGCCCUUUACCGGGGGAUAACACUUAGAAAUAGGUGCUAAAACCGCAUAAGCGCACGGUACCGCAUGGUACAGUGUGAAAAACUCCGGUGGUAAAGGAUGGACUCGCGUCUGAUUAGCCAGUUGGUGAGGUAACGGCCCACCAAAGCGACGAUCAGUAGCCGGCCUGAGAGGGUGAACGGCCACAUUGGGACUGAGACACGGCCCAAACUCCUACGGGAGGCAGCAGUGGGGGAUAUUGCACAAUGGGGGAAACCCUGAUGCAGCGACGCCGCGUGAGUGAAGAAGUAUUUCGGUAUGUAAAGCUCUAUCAGCAGGGAAGAAAAUGACGGUACCUGACUAAGAAGCCCCAGCUAACUACGUGCCAGCAGCCGCGGUAAUACGUAGGGGGCAAGCGUUAUCCGGAUUUACUGGGUGUAAAGGGAGCGUAGACGGUCCGACAAGUCUGAUGUGAAAGGUGUGGGCUCNACUCACAAACUGCAUUGGAAACUGCCAGACUGGAGUGCANGAGANNNAAGCGGAAUUCCUGGUGUAGCGGUGAAAUGCUUAGAUAUCNNNGGAACACCGGCGGCGAANNCGGCUUACUGGACUGNAACUGANGUUGANGNUCGAAAGCGUGGGUAGCAAACNNNANUANAUACCCUGGUAGUCCACGCCNNAAACGAUGAUCACUNNNNNUGGGGAGGCAAAGCCUUUCAGUGCCGUCGCAAACGCAAUAAGUGAUCCACCUGGGGAGUACGUUCGCAAGAAUGAAACUCAAAGGAAUUGACGGGGACCCGCACAAGCGGUGGAGCAUGUGGUUUAAUUCGAAGCAACGCGAAGAACCUUACCAAGUCUUGACAUCCCUCUGAAUAUCGGGGUAAUGCCUGAUAGGCCUUCGGGACAGAGGAGACAGGUGGUGCAUGGUUGUCGUCAGCUCGUGUCGUGAGAUGUUGGGUUAAGUCCCGCAACGAGCGCAACCCUUAUUUUCAGUAGCCAGCAUUUUAAGAUGGGAACUCUGAAGAGACUGCCGGGGUCAACCCGGAGGAAGGUGGGGAUGACGUCAAAUCAUCAUGCCCCUUAUGACUUGGGCCACACACGUGCUACAAUGGCGUAAACAAAGGGAAGCGAGCCUGUGAAGGUAAGCAAAUCCCAAAAAUAACGUCUCAGUUCGGAUUGUAGUCUGCAACUCGACUACAUGAAGCUGGAAUCGCUAGUAAUCGCGAAUCAGAAUGUCGCGGUGAAUACGUUCCCGGGUCUUGUACACACCGCCCGUCACACCAUGGGAGUCGGAAAUGCCCGAAGCCGGUGACCUAACCGAAAGGGAGGAGCCGUCGAAGGCAGGUCUGAUAGCUGGGGUGAAGUCGUAACAAGGUAGCC
RNAcentral lists this ribosomal RNA (1481 nucleotides) under uncultured bacterium. RNAcentral describes it as "bacterial SSU rRNA". It matches the Rfam family "Bacterial small subunit ribosomal RNA". The record is from RNAcentral.